UCUUCCUGCCGUGUGACUGGCGUUUCCUCCCUAAACUCGGGCCGCACCUUGGUGCGGCCCUUUUUUUGUAUCGCG
RNAcentral lists this small RNA (75 nucleotides) under Acetobacteraceae bacterium AT-5844. Its description in RNAcentral is "Makes More Granules Regulator RNA (mmgR)". It matches the Rfam family "Makes More Granules Regulator RNA (mmgR)". Rfam says of the family: SuhB later renamed mmgR (makes more granules regulator) was a putative non-coding RNA found multiple times in the Agrobacterium tumefaciens genome and related alpha-proteobacteria. Other non-coding RNAs uncovered in the same analysis include: speF, ybhL, metA, and serC. The record is from Rfam by way of RNAcentral. Lineage: Bacteria; Pseudomonadati; Pseudomonadota; Alphaproteobacteria; Acetobacterales; Acetobacteraceae.